This 256-nucleotide ribosomal RNA is filed under the name uncultured Pseudomonas sp. RNAcentral describes it as "partial 16S ribosomal RNA". It matches the Rfam family "Bacterial small subunit ribosomal RNA", at positions 96 to 354 of the family's 1533-position model. The record is from RNAcentral. Lineage: Bacteria; Pseudomonadati; Pseudomonadota; Gammaproteobacteria; Pseudomonadales; Pseudomonadaceae.
CGGCGGACGGGUGAGUAAUGCCUAGGAAUCUGCCUGGUAGUGGGGGACAACGUUUCGAAAGGAACGCUAAUACCGCAUACGUCCUACGGGAGAAAGCAGGGACCUUCGGGCCUUGCGCUAUCAGAUGAGCCUAGGUCGGAUUAGCUAGUUGGUGAGGUAAUGGCUCACCAAGGCGACGAUCCGUAGCUGGUCUGAGAGGAUGAUCAGCCACACUGGAACUGAGACACGGUCCAGACUCCUACGGGAGGCAGCAGGU